GAUGAACGCUGGCGGCGUGCGUAAUACAUGCAAGUCGAGCGAACAGAUAAGGAGCUUGCUCCUUUGACGUUAGCGGCGGACGGGUGAGUAACACGUGGAUAACCUACCUAUAAGACUGGGAUAACUUCGGGAGACCGGAGCUAAUACCGGAUAAGAUUUUGAACCGCAUGGUUCAAUAGUGAAAGACGGCCUUGCUGUCACUUAUAGAUGGAUCCGCGCCGUAUUAGCUAGUUGGUAAGGUAACGGCUUACCAAGGCAACGAUACGUAGCCGACCUGAGAGGGUGAUCGGCCACACUGGAACUGAGACACGGUCCAGACUCCUACGGGAGGCAGCAGUAGGGAAUCUUCCGCAAUGGGCGAAAGCCUGACGGAGCAACGCCGCGUGAGUGAUGAAGGUCUUCGGAUCGUAAAACUCUGUUAUCAGGGAAGAACAAACGUGUAAGUAACUGUGCACGUCUUGACGGUACCUGAUCAGAAAGCCACGGCUAACUACGUGCUAGCAGCCGCGGUAAUACGUAGGUGGCAAGCGUUAUCCGGAAUUAUUGGGCGUAAAGCGCGCGUAGGCGGUUUUUUAAGUCUGAUGUGAAAGCCCACGGCUCAACCGUGGAGGGUCAUUGGAAACUGGAAAACUUGAGUGCAGAAGAGGAAAGUGGAAUUCCAUGUGUAGCGGUGAAAUGCGCAGAGAUAUGGAGGAACACCAGUGGCGAAGGCGACUUUCUGGUCUGUAACUGACGCUGAUGUGCGAAAGCGUGGGGAUCAAACAGG
This 766-nucleotide ribosomal RNA is filed under the name uncultured Caryophanaceae bacterium. RNAcentral describes it as "bacterial SSU rRNA". It matches the Rfam family "Bacterial small subunit ribosomal RNA", at positions 28 to 776 of the family's 1533-position model. Lineage: Bacteria; Bacillati; Bacillota; Bacilli; Caryophanales; Caryophanaceae. The record is from RNAcentral.